GGGGACAACAGCCAGAAAUGGCUGCUAAUACCGCAUAGGCCUGAUGUACUCAUGGCACAGCAGGGAAAACCACGGUGGUACAGGAUGGGCCCGCGUCUGAUUAGUUAGUUGGCAGGGUAACGGCCUACCAAGACAACGAUCAGUAGCCGGCUUGAGAGAGUGGACGGCCACAUUGGGACUGAGACACGGCCCAGACUCCUGUGGGAGGCAGCAGUGGGGAAUAUUGCACAAUGGGGGGAACCCUGAUGCAGCAAUGCCGCGUGGGUGAAGAAGCACUCCGGUGCGUAAAGCCCUGUCAGCAGGGAAGAAAAUGACAGUACCUGGACAAGAAGCCCCGGCUAACUACGUGCCAGCAGCCGCGGUAAUACGUAGGGGGCAAGCGUUAUCCGGAUUUACUGGGUGUAAAGGGAGCGCAGGCGGCGUGGCAAGUCAGAUGUGAAAACCCGGGGCCCAACCCCGGGAGUGCAUUUGAAACUGCCAUGCUGGAGUGCCGGAGAGGUAAGCGGAAUUCCUAGUGUAGCGGUGAAAUGCGUAGAUAUUAGGAGGAACACCAGUGGCGGAGGCGGCUUACUGGACGGUAACUGACGCUGAGGCUCGAAAGCGUGGGGAGCAAACAGGAUUAGAUACCCUGGUAGUCCACGCCGUAAACGA
Molecule: ribosomal RNA, 651 nt
Filed under: uncultured bacterium
Lineage: Bacteria
Description: bacterial SSU rRNA
Rfam family: Bacterial small subunit ribosomal RNA
Source: RNAcentral